Molecule: ribosomal RNA, 501 nt
Filed under: uncultured bacterium
Lineage: Bacteria
Description: bacterial SSU rRNA
Rfam family: Bacterial small subunit ribosomal RNA
Source: RNAcentral
AGAGUUUGAUUAUGGCUCAGGAUGAACGCUGGCGGCGUGCUUAACACAUGCAAGUCGAACGGACUUAUUUGAGAGCUUGCUUUUGGAUAAGUUAGUGGCGGACGGGUGAGUAACGCGUGGGUAACCUGCCGUAUGCUGGGGGACAACAGUUGGAAACGACUGCUAAUACCGCAUAAGCGCACAGCACCGCAUGGUGCAGUGUGAAAAAACUCCGGUGGCAUACGAUGGACCCGCGUCUGAUUAGGCAGUUGGCGAGGUAACGGCUCACCAAACCGACGAUCAGUAGCCGGCCUGAGAGGGUGAACGGCCACAUUGGGACUGAGACACGGCCCAAACUCCUACGGGAGGCAGCAGUGGGGAAUAUUGCACAAUGGGGGAAACCCUGAUGCAAGCGACGCCGCGUGAGUGAAGAAGUAUUUCGGUAUGUAAAGCUCUAUCAGCAGGAAAGAAAAUGACGGUACCUGACUAAGAAGCCCCGGCUAACUACGUGCCAGCAGCAGC